GAUGAACGCUGGCGGCGUGCCUAAUACAUGCAAGUCGAGCGAACGGACGAGAAGCUUGCUUCUCUGAUGUUAGCGGCGGACGGGUGAGUAACACGUGGAUAACCUACCUAUAAGACUGGGAUAACUUCGGGAAACCGGAGCUAAUACCGGAUAAUAUUUUGAACCGCAUGGUUCAAAAGUGAAAGACGGUCUUGCUGUCACUUAUAGCUGGAUCGGCGCUGCAUUAGCUAGUUGGUAAGGUAACGGCUUACAAAGGCAACGAGGCAUAGCCGACCUGAGCGGGUGAUCGCCCACACGGGAACUGGGACACGGUCCAGACUCCUACGGGAGGCAGCAGUGGGGAAUCUUCCGCAAUGGGCGAAAGCCUGACGGAGCAACGCCGCGUGAGUGAUAAAGGUCUUCGGAUCGUAAAACUCUUUUAUUGGGGAAAAACAUAUGUGUAAUUAACUGUGCACAUCUUGACGGUACCUAAUCAGAAAGCCACGGCUAACUACGUG
RNAcentral lists this ribosomal RNA (497 nucleotides) under uncultured bacterium. RNAcentral's name for it is "partial 16S ribosomal RNA". It matches the Rfam family "Bacterial small subunit ribosomal RNA", at positions 28 to 507 of the family's 1533-position model. The record is from RNAcentral.